RNAcentral lists this ribosomal RNA (803 nucleotides) under uncultured bacterium. Its description in RNAcentral is "bacterial SSU rRNA". It matches the Rfam family "Bacterial small subunit ribosomal RNA", at positions 18 to 810 of the family's 1533-position model. The record is from RNAcentral.
CCUGGCUCAGGAUGAACGCUAGCGGCAGGCUUAACACAUGCAAGUCGAGGGGCAGCGGGGAGGAAGCUUGCUUUCUCCGCCGGCGACCGGCGCACGGGUGAGUAACACGUAUGCAACCUGCCCCUGUCAGGGGGACAACCCGCCGAAAGGCGGGCUAAACCCGCGUACAUGCCACCGGGGCAUCCCGGAGGCAGGAAAGGCUUCGGCCGGACAGGGAUGGGCAUGCGGCGCAUUAGGCAGUAGGCGGGGUAACGGCCCACCUAACCGACGAUGCGUAGGGGUUCCGAGAGGAAGGUCCCCCACACUGGUACUGAGACACGGACCAGACUCCUACGGGAGGCAGCAGUGAGGAAUAUUGGUCAAUGGUCGGGAGACUGAACCAGCCAAGCCGCGUGAGGGAGGAAGGUACAGAGUAUCGUAAACCUCUUUUGUCAGGGAACAAAGGCGGGGACGUGUCCCCGGAUGAGUGUACCUGAAGAAAAAGCAUCGGCUAACUCCGUGCCAGCAGCCGCGGUAAUACGGAGGAUGCGAGCGUUAUCCGGAUUUAUUGGGUUUAAAGGGUGCGCAGGCGGUCUGUUAAGUCAGCGGUCAAAGCCCGGGGCUCAACCCCGGCCCGCCGUUGAAACUGGCAGUCUCGAGUUGGAGAGAAGUAUGCGGAAUGCGCGGUGUAGCGGUGAAAUGCAUAGAUAUCGCGCAGAACUCCGAUUGCGAAGGCAGCAUGCCGGCUCCACACUGACGCUGAGGCACGAAAGCGUGGGUAUCGAACAGGAUUAGAUACCCUGGUAGUCCACGCAGUAAACGAU